GCCAGUGUGGUGUAGUGGUUUGAAGGCUGGAUUAGGACUCUGGGGACCAGGGUUCGAAUGCCUGCUCAGCCA
Non-coding RNA from Phrynosoma platyrhinos (Desert horned lizard), 72 nucleotides. Lineage: Eukaryota; Metazoa; Chordata; Lepidosauria; Squamata; Phrynosomatidae. The record is from the annotation of a GenBank genome assembly.